AAGAUUGUACUUUCAGGAACCAUUUCUAUAGUUCAUUGCUAGAGAAGUUUCUCAUGACUGUAUAGAGCACCCGAGACCAUGGGGACUGGACAUAGCAUUAUCUUCUGAGCAUGAAGCCAACUCUAGGUGCUGAUUUUCUGCAGCUGCUUCUUGCCACUGAUGGCUGUUCUUCUCUCCCUUUGGGAGAGGAAGGUAAUGCAGUUUGAGUGGA
This is a small nucleolar RNA of Phodopus roborovskii (desert hamster), 211 nucleotides long. RefSeq annotates it as small nucleolar RNA U3. The transcript has a single exon. Lineage: Eukaryota; Metazoa; Chordata; Mammalia; Rodentia; Cricetidae. The record is from RefSeq and is a predicted model, not a curated record.